Molecule: ribosomal RNA, 159 nt
Filed under: Colletotrichum higginsianum
Lineage: Eukaryota; Fungi; Ascomycota; Sordariomycetes; Glomerellales; Glomerellaceae
Description: 5.8S rRNA
Rfam family: 5.8S ribosomal RNA
About the family: 5.8S ribosomal RNA (5.8S rRNA) is a component of the large subunit of the eukaryotic ribosome. It is transcribed by RNA polymerase I as part of the 45S precursor that also contains 18S and 28S rRNA.
Source: RNAcentral
AAACUUUUAACAACGGAUCUCUUGGUUCUGGCAUCGAUGAAGAACGCAGCGAAAUGCGAUAAGUAAUGUGAAUUGCAGAAUUCAGUGAAUCAUCGAAUCUUUGAACGCACAUUGCGCCCGCCAGCAUUCUGGCGGGCAUGCCUGUUCGAGCGUCAUCUC